UUCAGGAGUGAAGCUUCUGUCUGCUGCACUGCAGAGUUCACAUUGUACACUGGAAACUCUCAGAUUGGUGGACUGUGGUUUGUCAGAGAUCAGCUGUGAUUAUCUGGCAGCAGCGCUGAAGUCCAACCCCUCGUAUCCCAGAGUGCUGGACCUGAGUGGAACCUACAACAACCUGCAGGAUUCAGGACUGAAGCAGCUGUGUGUUCUUCUGGAGAAUCCACGAUGUCGAUUUGAUACUCUGAGACUGAGUCACUGUGACCUGUCAGAGAGAAGCUGUGAAGCUCUGUCCUCAGGUCUCAGCUCUCAGACCUCUAAUCUGAGACAGCUGGACCUGAGUAACAUUAACCUGAAGGAUUCAGGUGUGAAGCUUCUGUCUGAAGGACUAAAGAGUCCACACUGUACACUGGAAACUCUCAGGUGAGAUCAAGCAUUGUUUUUUCAUCAACUGACAGAAUUAGCAGAUUAAUAAUAAGGCAGCCCUCUAAUAAGAGGAGAUGUGGAGGUCUUCUGA
Molecule: long non-coding RNA, 511 nt
Organism: Oreochromis niloticus (Nile tilapia)
Lineage: Eukaryota; Metazoa; Chordata; Actinopteri; Cichliformes; Cichlidae
Exons: 3
Source: RefSeq, a predicted model, not a curated record